UCCAGGCUCCUACGGGAGGCAGCAGUGGGGGAUAUUGCACAAUGGGGGGAACCCUGAUGCAGCGACGCCGCGUGGGUGAAGAAGCGCCUCGGCGCGUAAAGCCCUGUCAGCAGGGAAGAAAAUGACGGUACCUGAAGAAGAAGCCCCGGCUAACUACGUGCCAGCAGCCGCGGUAAUACGUAGGGGGCAAGCGUUAUCCGGAUUUACUGGGUGUAAAGGGGGCGCAGACGGCGAUGCAAGCCAGGAGUGAAAACCCAAGGCUCAACCAUGGGACUGCUUUUGAAACUGUCAAACUAGAGUACGGGAGAGGUAAGAGGAAUUCCUAGUGUAGCGGUGAAAUGCGUAGAUAUUAGGAGGAACACCAGUGGCGAAGGCGGAUUGCUGGACAGUAACUGACGCUGAGGCGCGAAAGCGUGGGGAGCAAACAGGAUUAGAUACCCGCGUA
This 445-nucleotide ribosomal RNA is filed under the name uncultured bacterium. Its description in RNAcentral is "bacterial SSU rRNA". It matches the Rfam family "Bacterial small subunit ribosomal RNA", at positions 330 to 792 of the family's 1533-position model. The record is from RNAcentral.